Dermacentor andersoni is the source of this 1092-nucleotide long non-coding RNA. RefSeq lists it as uncharacterized. Lineage: Eukaryota; Metazoa; Arthropoda; Arachnida; Ixodida; Ixodidae. The record is from RefSeq and is a predicted model, not a curated record.
ACUGUUUAGGAGCUCGUUGAAGUCUGACAUGUCGGGAGUAAUGAUGAGUGCCAUGUGUUUGUGUGCAUAAUCCGUCUGCCGUUCCAAAAUUGUGUUUUAAAUGUGCAGCAGUCGUAGCGGAAAUGGAUACCCUGUAGGGAAGACACGGUGGAAGCAUUUUGAACACGGAAGUACUUACAUCCAUUGCAUGGGCUGGCUUUGGCUUGUAUGGGUGUUCUUGCGCAAUAUCGGGCCUCAAGUUUUCAUUUAGCUAUCAAUUAUUGCGAACCAUAGGCGUGCGCACGAGGGGGGCGCAUUGCCCCCCCCCCAUCUAUUGCAAGACCCUGUGCAUGACUAUGGCUGAAACAGUCUGCCACUUUUACCAGCGUACAUGUAUUCUUUUCUGCAUAUGAAUGGCAAAACGGAUUUCGAGCAUAUCUGCAGCGCUAUUUUGUAUUGCUCCCCAUUGCAGGCGUGCAACGCGGAAUUCCGCAUUCUUGUUGGGGACCCCCGGUUCCCUGGUUCGUGCCACGACUUUUGGGUGUGGCAGCAUAACCCACUGAAUGCACGCCUAGCCACACAACUGCAGCCUGGCGAGUAUCUGCUUGGAGACUCAGGAUAUCCCCUCGAGCCAUGGCUGCUUGUUCCAGUACCUGGCAGCCAUGCCGGCACCACCUCUGAAGGCCACUACAACCGUGAGCACGCAUCCAUGCGCAAUGCUGUGGAUAGAUGUAUCGGGGUAUUGAAAGCAAGUUCCGCUGCUUGCAGCACUUUCGGGCACUGCUAUACAGCCCCGAUAGAGCAGCCCGAAUCAUUUAUACAUGCGUUGCUCUCCAUAACAUUGCCUUGGACGCGGGCGACUGGGCAUUGGACGAUUAUGGUGGGGAAGUGCCACCAGCUGACGAGCCAGAGGGGACAGGAGACAUCCAGGUGCUGGCACCGCACGACGUGUUCCUCAGAGGAAGGCAGCAGUGCAGCGCCGUUGUCAUGUAUUAGGUUGACCUGUAUAUGUACUUUUGUGUAUUGGACCAGCUACUAGCCACAUAGGCUAUUGGUCGAACAAUUUUUGUACACAUUACUUGCCCUGUUUAAAUAAAGCUCACUUUUUUAUUG